GCCUACGGGAGGCAGCAGUGGGGAAUAUUGCACAAUGGGGGAAACCCUGAUGCAGCGACGCCGCGUGAGUGAAGAAGUAAUUCGUUACGUAAAGCUCUAUCAGCAGGGAAGAAAAUGACGGUACCUGAGUAAGAAGCCCCGGCUAACUACGUGCCAGCAGCCGCGGUAAUACGUAGGGGGCAAGCGUUAUCCGGAUUUACUGGGUGUAAAGGGAGCGUAGACGGUGCGCCAAGUCUGGAGUGAA
Molecule: ribosomal RNA, 244 nt
Filed under: uncultured bacterium
Lineage: Bacteria
Description: partial 16S ribosomal RNA
Rfam family: Bacterial small subunit ribosomal RNA
Source: RNAcentral